GUGCUCGCUUCGGCAGCGCGUAUACUGAAAUCGGAAGGAUACAGAGAACAUUAGCAUGGCCCCUGCAAGGAUGACACCCAAAUUCGUGAAGCAUGCCAUAUUUUU
Molecule: small nuclear RNA, 105 nt
Organism: Callithrix jacchus (white-tufted-ear marmoset)
Lineage: Eukaryota; Metazoa; Chordata; Mammalia; Primates; Cebidae
Source: Ensembl